GACGAACGCUGGCGGCGUGCUUAACACAUGCAAGUCGAACGGAAAGGCCUGCUUUCCCUUGUGGAUUGCGGGUACUCGAGUGGCGAACGGGUGAGUAACACGUGAGUGAUCUGCCCCCAACUUGGGUAUAAGCCUGGGAAACUGGGUCUAAUUCCCGAUAGGACUGCAGGGUGGUGCCUGUGGUGGAAAACGAUUUUCUAGUGGUUGGGGGUGAGCUCGCGGCCUAUCAGCUUGUUGGUGGGGUAAUGGCCUACCAAGGCGGCGACGGGUAGCCGGCCUGAGAGGGUGGACGGCCACAUUGGGACUGAGAUACGGCCCAGACUCCUACGGGAGGCAGCAGUGGGGAAUAUUGCACAAUGGGCGGAAGCCUGAUGCAGCGACGCCGCGUGGGGGAUGACGGCCUUCGGGUGGUAAACUCCUUUCGACCGCGAGGAAGCCACCUGGUUGGAAGGGUGGUGACGGUAGUGGUAGAAGAAGCACCGGCUAACUACGUG
Molecule: ribosomal RNA, 494 nt
Filed under: uncultured bacterium
Lineage: Bacteria
Description: partial 16S ribosomal RNA
Rfam family: Bacterial small subunit ribosomal RNA
Source: RNAcentral